AUCCCACACCCCCCACCCCCAGUUAAAUCUGACCCAUCGAUACUGGCAAAAUGAUAGAAGCUCCUGGGAAGCAUCCCAGAGCCUGGGAGCUGCCCGCCGGCCAUCAUUGAGGAAAAUAAAUCUCUCUCCCUGAUAGCAGACAGUGCCCGCCGUAUUUCAUAAUUGGCGAGACGAAGAGCCCCGUUUUUUUUUCUUCUUCCCGAGAUGUUUGGGAAUAACUCAGUUUAAAAGACCACGUCCUAACAACCGGAAUGGGCCGAUUAUUCCAGCACAAUCCACUGAGAAUCGUUGCCGUGCACGUUUGUCACCCAGCGAGAACCUCAAACCCGGGAGGCAACCACCUUACUGCAUCCUGUCUCAAAAAGAUCUCUGUCUCCCAUCUGUUGUCUCUUCAAAGGGCCACCAAGGUGGGCAGCAUUUCUUCUGAGCUCCAUUUGGUUCUUUGGGUUGAGUAGUCCCUGAGCAUCAGGGAGGAUGGGCUUCCUGAGUGGAGCCUAGGCCUAGGCCUCAGGAGAUGCCUCUGAGGCAGAGAGGGGCCUCUCUAUAGCAAUACCCAAUAAGUCUUCUCUGC
This 571-nucleotide long non-coding RNA is filed under the name Rattus norvegicus (Norway rat). RNAcentral's name for it is "long non-coding RNA NONRATT033488". The record is from RNAcentral. Lineage: Eukaryota; Metazoa; Chordata; Mammalia; Rodentia; Muridae.